RNAcentral lists this ribosomal RNA (415 nucleotides) under uncultured bacterium. RNAcentral describes it as "bacterial SSU rRNA". It matches the Rfam family "Bacterial small subunit ribosomal RNA", at positions 355 to 786 of the family's 1533-position model. The record is from RNAcentral.
UGGGGAAUAUUGGGCAAUGGGCGAAAGCCUGACCCAGCAACGCCGCGUGAGGGAAGAAGGUUUUCGGAUUGUAAACCUCUGUCCUAAGUGACGAAGGAAGUGACGGUAGCUUAGGAGGAAGCCCCGCUAACUACGUGCCAGCAGCCGCGGUAAUACGUAGGGGCGAGCGUUGUCCGGAAUGACUGGGCGUAAAGGGCGUGUAGGCGGUUUUUUAAGUCUGGAGUGAAAGUCCUGCUUUCAAGGUGGGAAUUGCUUUGGAUACUGGAGAACUUGAGUGCGGAAGAGGUAAGUGGAAUUCCCAGUGUAGCGGUGAAAUGCGUAGAGAUUGGGAGGAACACCAGUGGCGAAGGCGACUUACUGGGCCGUAACUGACGCUGAGGCGCGAAAGCGUGGGGAGCGAACAGGAUUAGAUACC